AGUUGCGGCCAUAUUCUCAGAUGAGCUCCGGUACCCAUCUGAACACCGAAGAUAAGCCUGUGCAAGCCUACGCCAGUACUGAGUUGAGAGAUCACUCGGGAACGCUGGGUGCUGCAAUUU
Molecule: ribosomal RNA, 120 nt
Organism: Enterospora canceri
Lineage: Eukaryota; Fungi; Microsporidia; Enterocytozoonidae
Source: Rfam